GGAGACUCGUGUGAACCGGAUCUUAUAGUGGUGGCAGCUGUCGAGGGAACACGUCGACAACUUCUCUCCUCUCACACAGUAAGCUUGCAUAAAAAGAAGCUCACUGGAGGUUAGAUAGAGAGACUGAAGCGAUAAGCGUCAGAUGAAAAGUCAUGGGAGAUCAAAGUAAAAAUCACGAGUGACGUUGAUUUUUUCGCAAGGAAAAUUUUGUGUGCCGACCAAAGAGAUAUUUCCGGGGUGAAAAACAACACAGAAGAAGGAGAAUAAAUUCCAUGGGUCUCUUAUCUAUGUCUUCUUUUCGUUCAGCCCUAUUUUCAACCCGGCUCUCCACUAUUUGCGCAUAUAAAUAUUUUACGAGGGCCAGGAAAAAACUCUAUUUUCGUGCAGGCAAGCCCUAUCGCCACCGUUCAUAAGGAGAGAUUUACGGCGAACGGAAAGCGAUUAUUAUCUUCAGCAGAGUUUCCACUCUUUCGACAAUGAAAAGUAUUUUUACCAUUCGAAAACAAUUUCUUCCAAUAUUUUUCAUCAUGAAAUGUUCUUAAAUAAAAUUUACUCUUGAAUACAAGAUGUGUGAAUUAAGAACUAAUGUAUACUUCUGUAUGAAGAUGCGGGCAUGUUUGAAUGAGUAUUAAUUCAAGAAUGAUAUUGAAGAAAUUAGAAUUAUCUUCCUCUUUCCUCUUCAAUAAUUAUCGCGUAAGACAUUCUGAAAUGAACUUUCAGUCAUUUCAAUUUGAAAAAUUCGGUUACUUGAGAGACACUGGAUCUGUGUUGCACCUCGUGUCGUCAAUGUUCCGAGGUUCCUGGAAGGAAUUGCGGGAUUUAUGCCCGCUGGUCGAAAGUAUUCCCGCUAAUUACCGCAGGAGACGAAGAUUUAUGGAAUUUUUCGCGGCUAACCUCGCCAGCAAUAAUUAAAAUAGAUCGGAACGUGGAAACAGUAAAUUGUAACAGCCGCCACCCCCGCCGAUGGAUGGAAUUUACUCAGGCGAUACCGCGAAAUCGCGGACCUCACAAUACAGGCGCCAAGGAAAACUCGUUCGUUUUCGUACGGAGCAAAAAGACAUCGAGAAUUAUUCCGGUGAAGUGUAUAGUGCCGUGUAAACACAUUUUCGAAGGCGAAUGGGAAGCCCCGACGUGCUCUCCUGGUUUAUUUCAGAACGGUCGAAAGAUUUCUGAUAGUCGAGAUUGUUGCUCUAGUUGAAGCCUGGAAAAGAAGAAAUAUUUCAGUCGAUAUUUGGCGAUGAAGGAAAGAAAAUUGUUAUUGGAUAGUUUAUUGGUAGGAAAGAUAAAGAAAAAGAGAAAGAAAAAGAUGCGAUACCGAUGAACAGUUUUGGUAGAAGAUAUCUGUUAAAUAAGAAAAUCUUUUAACAAAUUAUUCAUCAACAAGAAGAAUAAAUGUAGCAAGGAAGAGACUAAAGUGAUGUUGAUAAAGGACUCUGUUGUAAGCUUCUUCUUUAACCUUAUCUAAAACUAAAAAUUCAUCUAAUGAAUUUCUUUAGCGCGGAUUUUAAUUAAAACCGAGCCGAAGUUGUCACAUUGAUAAAAGAGGAUCAAGACUCUAAACAGAAAAGAAAAUUAUAUUUCUUUUUAUAAACAUCAGAAAAUAUUCACUAUAUCAUUUCUCAUACAAAAAUACCCAAAAAUCACUUAGCCGCAACCAAAAGUAAAAAUUCAUUCAUGUAACGAAUUUCUUCGGCGUGGAUUUUAAUUAAAAUCAAGGCGAGGUCGUCACGGGUUCGAAAAAGAUAAAUUAGGACGAGUCGAGAGCGGGGCUUGAAAACCUGAAUAAUUUACGAUUGGUGUUGCGGGCGCGUUAGACACCCCAAGGAAUUCUAUGGGCCACCCUUACCGGAAGC
Bombus pyrosoma is the source of this 1853-nucleotide long non-coding RNA. RefSeq lists it as uncharacterized. The record is from RefSeq and is a predicted model, not a curated record. Lineage: Eukaryota; Metazoa; Arthropoda; Insecta; Hymenoptera; Apidae. The transcript is spliced from 3 exons.